This 347-nucleotide unclassified non-coding RNA is filed under the name soil metagenome. Its description in RNAcentral is "partial contains 5.8S ribosomal RNA, internal transcribed spacer 2, and large subunit ribosomal RNA". The stretch from base 1 to 120 matches the Rfam family "5.8S ribosomal RNA", at positions 35 to 154 of the family's 154-position model. The record is from RNAcentral.
GAUGAAGAACGUAGCAAAAUGCGAUAAGUAAUGUGAAUUGCAGAAUUCAGUGAAUCAUCGAAUCUUUGAACGCACAUUGCGCCCGCUGGUAUUCCGGCGGGCAUGCCUGUUCGAGCGUCAUUUCAACCCUCAAGCCCCCCGGGUUUGGUGUUGGGGAUCGGCUCUGCCUCACGGCGGUGCCGCCCCCGAAAUACAUUGGCGGUCUCGCUGCAGCCUCCAUUGCGUAGUAGCUAACACCUCGCAACUGGAACGCGGCGCGGCCAUGCCGUAAAACCCCAACUUCUGAAUGUUGACCUCGGAUCAGGUAGGAAUACUCGCUGAACUUAAGCAUAUCAAUAAGCGGAGGA